AACGCACCUUGCGCUCCUUGGUAUUCCGAGGAGCAUGCCUGUUUGAGUGUCAUGUUUUCCUCAGCCUCUCUCAGAUUUUUUAUUUUCUGAGAUGAAGCUGGAUGUGGGGGUUUGCAGGCUUUAUCUUUUUUGUCUGCUCCUCUUAAAUGCAUUAGUGUGAAUAUUACUGAAUGUUCCCCAGUGUGAUAAUUAUCUGCACUGUUGGAGCAUCUUUAUAUAUGUUCAUGCUUACAACUAUCCUUUGAAUAGGAUAAUAUACUUUUUUUAUGUUUGACCUCAAAUCAGGUAGGACUACCCGCUGAACUUAA
RNAcentral lists this unclassified non-coding RNA (308 nucleotides) under uncultured fungus. Its description in RNAcentral is "partial contains 5.8S ribosomal RNA, internal transcribed spacer 2, and large subunit ribosomal RNA". The stretch from base 1 to 52 matches the Rfam family "5.8S ribosomal RNA", at positions 103 to 154 of the family's 154-position model. The record is from RNAcentral. Lineage: Eukaryota; Fungi.